RNAcentral lists this ribosomal RNA (262 nucleotides) under uncultured bacterium. RNAcentral describes it as "partial 16S ribosomal RNA". It matches the Rfam family "Bacterial small subunit ribosomal RNA", at positions 524 to 782 of the family's 1533-position model. The record is from RNAcentral.
UACGUAGGGGGCAAGCGUUGUCCGGAAUCAUUGGGCGUAAAGAGCGUGUAGGCGGCUUGGUAAGUCCGCUGUGAAAGUCCAGGGCUCAACCCUGGAAAUGCCGGUGGAAACUGUCAAGCUUGAGUCCGGAAGAGGCGAGUGGAAUUCCUGGUGUAGCGGUGAAAUGCGCAGAUAGUCAAGGAGGAACACCAAUGGCGAAGGCAGCUCGCUGGGACGGUACUGACGCUGAGACGCGAAAGCGUGGGGAGCAAACAGGAUUGAG